GCAUCAUCUUUUAGGAUUUGAAAUAGCUCAACUGGAAUUCCAUCACCUCCACUAGCUUUCUUCGUAGUGAUGCUUCCUAAGGCCCACUUGACUUCGAAUUCCAGGAUGUCUGGCCCAAGUUGAUUGAUUACACCGUCAUGAUUAUCUGCUUUGUGAAGUUGUUUUGUGCAUAGUUCUGCUGU
Cervus elaphus (red deer) is the source of this 182-nucleotide long non-coding RNA. RefSeq lists it as uncharacterized. The transcript has 3 exons. Lineage: Eukaryota; Metazoa; Chordata; Mammalia; Artiodactyla; Cervidae. The record is from RefSeq and is a predicted model, not a curated record.